This 1463-nucleotide unclassified non-coding RNA is filed under the name Leishmania donovani. RNAcentral's name for it is "gene:unknown". Lineage: Eukaryota; Euglenozoa; Kinetoplastea; Trypanosomatida; Trypanosomatidae. The record is from RNAcentral.
UGCGCGGCAAAACAAAAAGGAGAGAAGAGGUGAACUAUCAAAACAGUCGUGCGGAUGAAGCGCCCCCUCCCCCAACCCCCGAAAAAAAAAAAUGAUGUUGCGUUCUCUUUCAGUCUCUCGUUUACAGCGGGUCUUUUCCCACUUUUCGUUUUGUUACCCGAAAACACUCGUGUGUGCAUCUGUGCGUGCCUUUGGCCUUGUGUGUGUGCGUAUGUGUGCAUGUGGACGUUACGGUGAUGUGUGCACCGGCGAACUUGAUAAGGCGACGCGCGGCAAAGAUGGAGGAGGGGGAGGGAAGCGAGGGGGGGGUUGAGUAGAGUGCGUUUGUCCUUUGCGCGUGCGUGUUAUACCUGGGCAGCAUUCACAAGAAACGGCACGCUGAUCUGUGCUAGUUUUGGGCGACGUUCGGCAUACCGUCAAAAAAGUAAUCGCACCACCCCUCGUCAACGACAAUGAUAGGGCACAAUCCGUUGUACGUGGGGUGGUGGUGGUAUUCACGUCAACUUGUCACAUUUCUGGACCCCGAAAGCCGAUGGAGCGUGAGAAGGGGGGCGAGAAGGGUAGAGAGCGAGAGAGGGGCAUGGGGGGGCACGGGGCAUCAAGGAUGCCAUGUGCGUUGCUGCAGGCGCGUGGACACACAACCCUCAGCUUAGUACGCCAGUCGCUUUUCUUUUCCCUUCUCAAUGUACGCAAUACCCGCUCUUGACGAUGGAUGGUUCUUUUUCUUAGACAUGUGCGCUGACUGCUGCGCACCCACGCGCAUGAACGCACACGCUGGCGUUGAAGGCCGCCAUUGCUGGAGUUCACUCCGAUUGGUCGCCACGCGCUCCACACUUUCUGACGGCGCACCACGUCUCAGCUCUUCCCCACGAAACCCUCACUGAGGCCAAAUGAAAAAAAAUCAAACAAAAAAUCUACAGUUAUGCCACACCCCUCCAAAAAAAAAAAAACAUCAAAAAAGAUUCACAUUUCUGGAGUGCAGUGAUAGCAAGACGACAACGCGAGGGCUUGAUAUCGAUCGGAGAGCGAGUGUGUCCGAUGUUGGAAGAGGGACCCUUCCGCACCUACAACAAGGUCGUCUCGCAUGCGAGAGAGAGUCGCAUCAGGCAGCUACCGACCGCGGCUAAUGUGUGUGCGUGUGUGCGUAGGGGGGGGGUAGAGGGGAUCUGGUGAUGAGGUGAUCGGAUAAAAGCGACAUGCAGUGCACCGGGAGAUGCCAGUGCCUCUCGUGACUGUGUUGGCCAUAUGAGCCAAAUAGUAUUACGGGGCUUCUGCCUGUGUACUGCCGUCACACUCACAUCCACUCUCCUUCUGUUUCUCCGUCCCCGGACAUGUUCUUCCCUCCCCCCAUACGCACUUGCGUGUGUGUGCGUUUCUAUUUCUUUGUAUCAUCCUUUGUCUUACCCUGACUAUUAUUAUUGCUUGUGCUGCCGAAACUGACGAACGCGUCCGUCGUGCCACAG